UGUCGUCAGCUCGUGUCGUGAGAUGUUGGGUUAAGUCCCGUAACGAGCGCAACCCUUGUCCUUAGUUACCAGCACGUAAUGGUGGGCACUCUAAGGAGACUGCCGGUGACAAACCGGAGGAAGGUGGGGAUGACGUCAAGUCAUCAUGGCCCUUACGGCCUGGGCUACACACGUGCUACAAUGGUCGGUACAGAGGGUUGCCAAGCCGCGAGGUGGAGCUAAUCCCACAAAACCGAUCGUAGUCCGGAUCGCAGUCUGCAACUCGACUGCGUGAAGUCGGAAUCGCUAGUAAUCGCGAAUCAGAAUGUCGCGGUGAAUACGUUCCCGGG
This 329-nucleotide ribosomal RNA is filed under the name uncultured Pseudomonas sp. Its description in RNAcentral is "bacterial SSU rRNA". It matches the Rfam family "Bacterial small subunit ribosomal RNA", at positions 1050 to 1378 of the family's 1533-position model. The record is from RNAcentral. Lineage: Bacteria; Pseudomonadati; Pseudomonadota; Gammaproteobacteria; Pseudomonadales; Pseudomonadaceae.